RNAcentral lists this ribosomal RNA (135 nucleotides) under uncultured bacterium. Its description in RNAcentral is "partial 16S ribosomal RNA". It matches the Rfam family "Bacterial small subunit ribosomal RNA", at positions 355 to 507 of the family's 1533-position model. The record is from RNAcentral.
UGGGGAAUCUUGGACAAUGGGGGAAACCCUGAUCCAGCGAUGCCGCGUGAGUGAUGAAGGCCUUCGGGUUGUAAAACUCUUUUACCCGGGAAGAUAAUGACUGUACCGGGAGAAUAAGCUCCGGCUAACUUCGUG